CAGGUGAAAUAAACAGCCAUGUUGCUC
Molecule: non-coding RNA, 27 nt
Filed under: Homo sapiens (human)
Lineage: Eukaryota; Metazoa; Chordata; Mammalia; Primates; Hominidae
Source: RNAcentral